GUAUUUUAAGUUUAGCUGAACACAUUACUUUCCUCACUGGGGUCCUGGUUAGUAAUGGCCGCAAACAAGUCUCUGGGCAUAGUGUAUGUAGUCAGAUGCUUGUACUGGUGGCCAUGAGGCAGAUCCAUGGAGACAGUC
This is a small nucleolar RNA of Mus spicilegus (steppe mouse), 138 nucleotides long. Its record names the gene SNORA70. It matches the Rfam family "Small nucleolar RNA SNORA70". Rfam says of the family: snoRNA U70 seems to be exclusive to mammals and is a member of the H/ACA class of snoRNA which contain H (ANANNA) and ACA box motifs. H/ACA box snoRNAs are involved in the conversion of uridines to pseudouridines (5-ribosyluracil) a constituent of structural RNAs (transfer, ribosomal, small nuclear, and small nucleolar). The record is from Ensembl. Lineage: Eukaryota; Metazoa; Chordata; Mammalia; Rodentia; Muridae.